Molecule: ribosomal RNA, 253 nt
Filed under: uncultured bacterium
Lineage: Bacteria
Description: partial 16S ribosomal RNA
Rfam family: Bacterial small subunit ribosomal RNA
Source: RNAcentral
UACGUAGGCAGCGAGCGUUGUUCGGAGUUACUGGGCGUAAAGGGUGUGUAGGCGGUUCUUUAAGUUUGGUGUGAAAUCUCCCGGCUCAACCGGGAGGGUGCGCCGAAUACUGAGGGACUCGAGUGCGGGAGAGGAAAGUGGAAUUCCUGGUGUAGCGGUGAAAUGCGUAGAUAUCAGGAGGAACACCGGUGGUGUAGACGGCUCUCUGGACCGUAACUGACGCUGAGACACGAAAGCGUGGGUAGCAAACAGG